RNAcentral lists this ribosomal RNA (465 nucleotides) under uncultured bacterium. Its description in RNAcentral is "bacterial SSU rRNA". It matches the Rfam family "Bacterial small subunit ribosomal RNA", at positions 627 to 1102 of the family's 1533-position model. The record is from RNAcentral.
GUGCACCUAUUUACCUAGGGUGCCAGGAGAAGGUAAGUGGCAUCCUAGGUAAGCGGUGAAAUGCGGUAGAUAUUAAGGAGGAUCACAGUGCGAAGCGCUACUGGACUGUACUGACGUUGAGCUCGAAAGCGUGGGGAGCAAACAGGAUCAGAUACCUGGUAGUCCACGCUGUAACGAUGAUACUAGGUGUCGGGGGCUAUAGCUCGGUGCCGCAGCAAACGCAAUAAGUAAUCCACCUGGGGAGUACGUUCGCAAGAAUGAAACUCUAAGGAAUGACGGGGACCCGCACAAGCGGUGGAGCAUGUGGUUUAAUUCGAAGCAACGCGAAGAACCUUACCAAAUCUUGACAUCCCUCUGACAGAGUAUGUAAUGUACUUUUCCUUCGGGACAGAGGAGACAGGUGGUGCAUGGUUGUCGUCAGCUCGUGUCGUGAGAUGUUGGGUUAAGUCCCGCAACGAGCGCAAC